UUUUCAUCCUCCUUGAGAAACUUCCUCUUAUUUCAAAUCAUGACAAAAUUAUCCUGUAUAGACUUUGUUAUUGCUUUGCCUUUCACAGGUAUAUCUACAGUUCACUAGGAAUUGGUACUUGUUCGUGAUGUGAGCUAGAGGCCAAUUUUCUUUUUUUUAUUUAUGUGGCUAUCCAUGUGGUCCACCACCAUUUAUUGAAAAGAACAUCGUUUCUCCACUGCUCUGUGGAGGUACCUUGUCACAAAUCAAGUGUUCAUAUAUGGUUCUGUUUCUGUGCUUUCCUUUCUGUUCCAUCGAUGUAUUUUCCUUUCCGUGGACCAAUAUCACGUUGCAUUAAUUGCUAUGUCUUUAUAAUAAAUCAUAAAUCUUGUACUUCUUCCACAUUUUUCUUUUCCAAGGAUAUUCUGGCUAUUCUUGGGUCUUUGCACUUCUAUAAAUACUUAAAAAUCAGCAUCUAAGGUUCAUUUAAAACAAAAAUUAAAAAACCAGCUGAGCAGAGGCAGCCGAGAGCCAUGGCGGUGGUGGUGGUGGCGGUGGCAGUACAGACCCGGAUCCUGCAGUCCCAACUGCAGAGCUCCUCAUGAAGGGAAAUUUGGUGAAUCCAAAAGCGACAAAUGGAUUGAUAGCCACAAUCCGGCCACCAAUGAGGUAAUCCGUCACUCCCCUCAGGCCACCAAGGCUGAAAUGGAUGCAGCUGUCGCUUCCUGCAAACGUGCUUUUCCUACAUGGGCAGACACUUCAGUAUUAAGCCAUCAGCAGGUCAUGCUCCGCUAUCAACAACUUAUUAAAGAAAACUUGAAAGAAAUUGUGAAGUUAAUCACAUUGGAAUAAGGGAAGACCCUAGCUGAUGCUGAAGGAGAUAUAUUUGGGGACUUUCAUAAGCUGGGAGUGGUUGAGCACGCCUAUAGUGUGACAUCUCUCAUGCUGGGAGAGACCAUGCCAUCCAUCACCAAAGACAUGGACCUUUAUUCCUACCGUCUGCCUCUGGGAGUGUGUGCGGGCAUUGCUCCAUUCAAUUUUCCUGCCAUGAUUCCUCUUUGGAUGUUUCCCAUGGCCAUGGUGUGUGGAAAUACCUUCCUAAUGAAACCAUCAGAAAGAGUCCCUGGAGCAACUAUGCUUCUUGCUAAGUUGCUCUAGGAUUCUGGUGCCCCUAAUGGAACACUGAACAUCAUUCAUGGACAACAUGAAGCUGUAAAUUUUAUUUGUGAUCAUCCAAACAUCAAAGCAAUCAGCUUUGUGGGAUCCAACCAGGCAGGAAAGUACAUCUUCGAGAGAGGAUCAAGACACGGCAAGAGGGUUCAAGCCAACAUGGGAGCCAAGAAUCAUGGAGCAGUCAUGCCAGGUGCCAAUAAGGAAAAUCCCUGGAACCAGCUGGUUGGGGCAGCAUUUGGAGCUGCUAAUUAGUACUGCAUGGCUCUUUCCACAGCAAUCUUUGUGGGGGAAGCUAAAAAGUGGCUGCCAGAACUAGUGGAUCGUGCCAAAAACCUGAGAGUCAAUGCAGGAGACCAGCCUGGAGCUGAUCUUGGCCUUGGAUCACUCUCCAGGCCAAAGAAUGAGUCUGUCAUCUAAUUGAUAGUGGAACAAAGGAGGGAGCUUCCAUCCUUCUUACUGGGUGAAAAAUUAAAAGGCUAUGAAAAUGGCAACUUUAUUGGAUCAACCAGCAUCUCAAAUGUUAAGCCAAAUAUGACCUGUUACAAAGAGGAGAUUUUUGGUCCAGUUCUUGUGGUUCUGGAGACAGAAACAUUGGAUGAAGCCAUCAAGAUUGUAAAUGACAACCCAUAUGGAAAUGGAACUUCCAUCUUCACCACACUGCUCGGAAAUAUUCCCACCUGGUGGAUGUUGGACAAGUGGGAGUGAAUGUCCCCAUUCCAGUGCCUUUGCCAAUGUUCUCAUUCACUGGCUCUCGAUCUUCCUUCAGGGGAGACACCAAUUUCUAUGGCAAACAGGGCAUCCAUUUCUACACUCAGUUAAAAAACAUCACUUCUCAGUGGAAAGAAGAUGAUGCUACUCUUUCCUCACCUGCUGUAGCCAUGCCUACCAUGGGCCGUUAGAAACAAGUUUGUUUAAGACUCAGUCCGUCCUGAAUAAUCUCGCUUUAUUUUUGACCAGCUUCAUUUGCCAACUUUGCUCAUAUUGGAUCCCUGGGAUUGGAAUACAUUGUAACUAAAAUCUUUCUCAGGACUAUUAGUCCCUGCAAAGUUGCUAUAGGAAGACUCUUAGUGUAACAUUGAAACCAGAUUUUUUCACUUGCUCUUCAUACUUAACAUUUUUGAGGUAAUUGUGACUGUGAAAUGCUUCUUUGGAAUAAGAGCUUAAACGUGUUUUCUAAAAAUU
Molecule: non-coding RNA, 2334 nt
Organism: Microcebus murinus (gray mouse lemur)
Lineage: Eukaryota; Metazoa; Chordata; Mammalia; Primates; Cheirogaleidae
Source: RefSeq, a predicted model, not a curated record